Long non-coding RNA from Felis catus (domestic cat), 2286 nucleotides. RefSeq lists it as uncharacterized. The transcript is spliced from 2 exons. The record is from RefSeq and is a predicted model, not a curated record. NCBI's taxonomy places the organism in Eukaryota, Metazoa, Chordata, Mammalia, Carnivora, Felidae.
AGUGGACCGGGGUGGGAGUGGUGAGCGGGGAUGGACUGGGAGGGCCUGUCUAGGCACCUGGGGGGUGGCAGGGGCCAGGUGGGACCUUAUGGUCUUCCUUUUAGGGAGAAGACUGGGCUCUGGGAAGUGUGGUGGCCUCUUGAGGGGACUUUUUUCCUUUUUAGUGGACACGAUCCAAGCAGUCUGUCUUGGGGAAGAGUUGCCAGAGAAAAUACAGGACUCCCAGUUUCAGAUCAACACAUGCGUCUUAUUUUCGUGUAAGUAUAUCCCUAGUAUUACAUGGGACAUGCUUAUAAAAAUCAUUCAUUGAUCUGAAAUUCAGAUUUAACUGGGCAUCCUGUAUUCGUUAAUUUUUUAAAAGUUUAUUUAUUUAUUUUGUGUGUGAGAGAGAAAGAGAGAGCGAGCAGGGGAGGGGCAGAGAAACAAGGAGAGGGAGAAUCCCAAGCAAGUCCCGCAUUAUCAGCUCGGAGCCCUACACCAGGCUUGAACUCACGAGCCAUAUGAGAUCAUGACCCGAGCCGAAAUCAAGAGUCCGAUGCUUAACCGACUGAGCCACCUGGGUGCCCCUGGGCGUCCUGUUUCUUAUAUGCUAAAACUGGCAACUCCAGUCUUUGGUCUCCUGGGGACAGCUCAUAUCUUAUGGGACCACGGCUUUGUUCAGCUGGAAGAGACUAUGGAGGUCAGAGGCUAUUUUUGAAGAAGAGGGACAGAAGACCAACAUCAUGCAUGAGGCCAAGUGAGGACAUAAUGAGAAGGCGGCCGCCUACAAGCCCGGAAGCGGGCUCCCAUCAGGAACUGAGGCUGCCAGCACCUCGAUCGUCGCGGACCUCCCAGCUUCCGGAAGUGGGAGGAAGACACGUUUGUGGUUUAAGCGAUGCACCUGCGGCGUGUCGUUGCAGCGUCUCGAGUAGGCUUGGCCUAUACAUGCCUCAGUCCCCCACGUGCGAACACAGGUUCACAUCAGCCCAGCUUGCCUGUACCUGUGUGUCCACACCCACGUGUUACACACAAGUACGGAUGCAGGGGAGAGCAGUGCGCAUGUCCACGUGGUGGCCUGCCCCCUUCUCCCUUCCACGCCCAUUCCUGAGCCGCAAGCAUGGCUUGAGUUCUUCAUUGCCAUUUAUUGGACCCUCCCAUGGAAGAAAGGGGUGGGGAGCAAGAAGAGGAAGCUGUCUUUGUUAGGACUGAACCAGGGAGCCCAGGGGACCUCAGAGGAAGGGGACUGGAACAAUGGGGGAAGGUGGCCAGUGGGGAAGGGCUGGGCUGAAGGAGGGUGAGGGCAAGGGUGGGGCGUGGGAAGGCCUGUGGCCGAAUCUUUGAACUGGCCAGGGCUGGGGGCUCCGGUGUGGUGAAGAUGCCCUCAACCAAGCUUUCAGAAGACUGUGUUCAGGAGCAUGGAUGUGCUCAGCACCGCCCCCCCCCCCGCCACGGCGGCCCCCCAAAGGUGUCCUCAGAGCCCAGAGGCAGGCAAGGACCUGGCAAGGAUUAGUUUCUGGGGGGCAGGGAAAGGGGGGGCUCAGUUGCCCUCAGCUGGGGUCCAGGCCUGGUCCAGAGGGAUCUUCUGGGAUGUUUUUUCCAUUUCUGGUUCCCGCUUUGGUUCCUUUGCCCGCCAGGACCUAGGGAAAGAGAUCUCAGGAAAAGCCCCCGGUAUGGACCUGCUUCCCCAGCUAGGAGUUCCAGGAGGACCAGAAGCAAGGGACUGACCAGGUUUCCACGUCUUCGAUAGUCUCUGGCAAGGGCUGAUUGAGGGUCUCAGGCAGGAAGAGGGCAGCCCUGCCUCCCAGGAAGGUGAUGGUCCCAAAUAUGACUUUGGGGAUGAAGGGCUGCCACUCCCCUGUGAUCUUCACCAGCGGGGCCAUCAUGCUUCCCAUGUGGGCCCCCAAGUUGCCAAUGCUCAUGCCUGUUUGCCUGGGAGAGUUCAGAGUAGGGAUUGGCAGCCUGUGUGUGGGGCCCCUGGGCAGGGGGCUAGAGGAUGCUGCGAUCCCACCUGACCCUGUAUCUUUUGGCUCGGCCAGCCCCAAGCCCUGCACCUACCGAAUGAUCGUGGGGUACAGCUCGCUUGAACAGAGGAAGAGGCAGCCGAAGGAACUGGACGAGCAUCCCCUUCCCAAACACAGCCAGGGCUGUCCUCAGGGUCUGCGAAUCUGCAGACGGAAGAAAAUGUGAUGGGCCUCGGGCUCAGGAGCACCUGAGUGCUGAGUGUUCUCACUCUUCAGCCGACUUUGUCUCCCUUUUUGCUUUGGCUGCUGGAAAGCUCAGGUCUAAAUAUAAAGCUGAGUAAUGGUC